CUCUGGAGAGUUUACUGAGUUUGUCAGAGGUGUUUCUUCUUUACUCUGCUGCUCCUCACAGAUUCUUCUCUGAAAUAAUAUUCAGUAAACAUUAACUAGUGUUCACUAGUUGAACUUUGUUUUUCCUUUUGUUGGACAUAGUUCCAGGUCUGAGUGCUGAUCAGAGGAGGAAGACGGUAAAAUGGCGGCUUUUAGAUCUGCGUCAUUCUUUUUGAUCCAUUUCCUGGUCUGCUCUUCUGAAUCUCAGAAAAACAUCACAGCUAAACGUGGACAGGAUGUCAUUCUACCAUGUAAAGUUCCUGACAACAACAACAUCCACAUCAACAACAUCACAGCUGUAGAGUGGAUCAGACCUGGACUGGAUCCAGAUCUUGUUCUUCUGUACCGGGACAGACACUUAGAUCCAGACAGUCAGCAUCCAUCUUAUCAGAACCGGGUGGAUCUGCAGGACAAAGAGAUGAAGGAUGGAGACGUUUCUCUGAUUCUGAAGAAUGUGAUGAAAAACGACACUGGAACAUAUGAGUGUUGGGUUUUCCAGAAAGGAACAAACCGCAGGAAGAGAUGGAGUUCUGAACCCAUCAGCAUCAACCUGGAAGUUCUUGAACCAGGAGAAAAGUCUGAAGGAGCCAAGGGUGAUAUCAUUGGAGAUGAAGGAAAAGAGAUUGGAAGAGACCAGGUUGGAAUCAGUAGCAAACAUCUUGGAGUAGUGGGUGUGAUACUUCUUGCUGUGUUGGCUUCUGUUGGUUUUCUGAUCUACAGACGACACAUGAGGCAGAAUCCAAAUCUCCCAGUUCCUCCUGAUGAAGCAGCAGUUGAACAGAUUUUAUGAAACAAAGACAUGAAAGUUUUUGUGAACAGCAUCAGAACAAACCAGAGCUUGUGUAACUUUGAUGGAAGCAGCAGCAGCAGAACAAAGAGAAUCCAGGUGUGGACCAACCAUGUGGUCUCUCCUUUAACUGCCACCUUAUCGUGGUGGAGGGUUUGUGAGCUCAGAGGAUGCUGGGAGCUCUGCUGUCUGGAGUUCAGCUCCUGAAAGGGUUUCCCAUGACAGACUGGUCCCAGAUGAUGAGCCAGACUAAGGGCAGUUUUUUCCACCCUGGAACAUUUUCAUCUGACACAUGGUCACAUAGAAUCAGCAAUUUUUAGAAACAGAUCUUGAACCCUCUCAAUCUCAAGUAAAUAAUAACCAAUAUUAACCUCCUGAGACCUGGUGUCUAAAUAUGUGGACAUAAUUGUUCCUUUCAGAAAGAGCAUAAUAAUAAUAACAAUAAUAAUAAUCAUAUAUUAGAUAUUAUUCGGUCCCUGCACAACCAAGGUGAGAGCAGUGUCCGUAUACUCACCACAAAGUCGGUUUCCAGUGGGUGUUGGACUCCUCCUGUCCCUUGUCUCCGAUCCUGUUUGUGGUCUUCAUCGACAGGAUCUCAAAGAUCAGCCAGGGUGAGGAGGGUGUCUGGCUUGGGGCUUUCCAAACAUGUCCACCUGGGAGGAGACCCCGGGGUAGACCCAGAAUUAGCAGGAGGGAUUAUGUAUUUCAUCUGGUCUUGGAACACCUCGGGAUCCCCCAAGAAGAGCUGGAACAACCUGCUUCGACUAUAGUACUAUACUACAGAGUAUAUAUACUAUAUAUAUUCUAUAGUAUAUACUCUCAAUAUACCCCUGAUGAGAAGUUCAUCUCAAACAGAUUUCACAGUUAAUUCAAAAUGGCCGACUUCCUGUUGGGUUUAGAUCCAUCCAUCCAUUCUCUAUCCACCGCUUUAUCCUCAUUAGGGUUGGGGGGGGGUGCUGGAGUCUAUCCCAGCUGACUCUGGUGAAGGCAGGGGACACCCUGGACAGGUCACCAGUCUGUCACAGGGCUACAUAUACAGACAAACAAUCACACUCACAUUCACACCUACGGACAAUUUAGAGUAACCAAUUAACCUCAGCAUGUUUUUGGACUGUGGGAGGAAGCCGGAGUACCCGGAGAAAACCCACGCAUGCACAGGGAGAACAUGCAAACUCCAUGCAGAAAGAUCCCAGGCCCACUGUUGGGUUUAGAUGAUGGCUGUAAUUGACUGUUUUGUGCGCCCUGAUGUGCUUCAUAUCCACACAAAACGUUCAAGAUGAAAUGUGCUAUCCGUAGUAGUGUUCCAAAUGUUGCAAUUAUGUAGGGGGCGCUAUGGAGCCAUUUAAUACUAAACUUUUUGCCGUUCCUGAUGUGUACGCAAAGUUUUACGCAUUUGAGUACUUUUAGGCCAUCAACUAUGCAACUGAAAAGAAAUUAUAAAUAAAUAAAUAAACCCAUGGAUUUCUAUAGAGUCUUCACACCUUUGAUGCUCAGACAAAUAAUAAAAUAACGAAUAAAGACUCAACUGUAAUUAACAGUGAUAUGAAAACUAUUCAGAGUUUAGAUCUAGAUUGAUCCUGUGGAUUGUUGCUGCUGCUGCUGGUCUUCAUCAACUUUUCUACUCUGUUGCUUUGUCUGGAAAUAAAUGUGUUCCAAAGCUCUGCAUGUUAGAACCUGAUGAAAUGAAAUUAGUCAGUAUUUUGUUUAUAUAUGUGUAUAUAGCGUAAUCAUAUAUUGUCUCUUCAAAUUAUUAAAAUAAUUGACUUUGCUGCCAUUAUCUGCUUCUCUAACAUAUAUUAGUGUGUGUGUGUUCACAGUGUUUGCAAAAUACCUGUCUACAGUCGAGCUUAAUUUCAGAAUAUUCUAUUACCCAUUAUUAUUAUUAUCUAUUAAUCCCACUAUGAACAUUAAAAUACGCCGAACCAUUUGUCCUGUAUCAUAGCUACAUGUAUGAUGUUUGCAGCAAAAAAUAAAAAUAAAAACGCGUGAAAAUCAGUUUAAUAUUCAGAGUUAAGAUGGAUUAAAUGCGCUGUCAAACAGCGCUGAGUGGAGCGGAUGACCGGACCAAGAUGGCGGCCCCACCGCUCGUCAGCCCCAAUGGACAGUAGCGGUCGAUGCGGCGUCUACUUUUUAUUAUGUCUAUGUCUGGACAGAAACACAGACUCUUGGAGUGACGCUUGGUGUCGGAAGGAAAAUGUGGACCAGAUUUUCACAAACCUGGCUAAUAAAAAUAAAAUAAUAAUAAUAAAACAACAACAAUAAUAAUAACAUUCAUAAUAAACAUAUUCUAGCAAUGGAGAACACCAGGACUCUGGAUUCUCCCUGUGGUCCUAAAGACUGUUUCAUUGUUUUUGUCAUUGUAUAGAUUGUGGCGGACAGAAAAAGCUUUUUAGAAUGGUACAAAUUCAUUUAUGUAAAAUUUUAUUGUGACUCCUAAUCAUUUUGUAAAUAGUUGUGCAAAAACACCUAAAAAAUUCCUGCAUUUUAGUGCAAAUAGUGGUAUAUAACUGUGUUUACUGCUAAAUGUGUACAUUAUUUUAUGACAAACAAUUUAUAUUUACAUUAUAAGUUCUGAAAAAGAUUCAUUACACAUGUUUAUGGUGUCCACAACAAAAAAAACUUUUUUCUACUCUGACUUUUUUUUUCUGCUAUUUUAGGUCAAGUGUGUCCAUACAUUAUAUCAAAAUGUCUAAAUAGUUAUAGGAUCACACGGGUGAGGUUGUGCUGAAAAAAAGAUACCAAGCAAAGCAAGAUCAACAGCUUUUAAGGUGAAAUAUAGAGGUAAAAUCAGAAUUAGUCAAAAACGGACCUAACCCCCCCCCAGCCCUAAGGGUUAAUGUGUGUUUUAAUGUUUUAUCUGUUAGUAGCUCUGCUGAUGUUUUUACCUUUUAAUGUGGUAAAGGUGGAGAUAAUAUUAUAUAUUUCAGAUAUUAUUGAUACUUUUUAUACUGAUAAGUGUUCUGUGAAUUUGAUCUUCAUCCUAUAUCAUGUUUAGUUGUUAAUCUGCAGAUAAAUGUAGUAAAAUAACAUUGUUUGUUACUGAAAUGUAGUGAAGGUUGAACAGAAUAAACAGAACUUCUACUGAUAGAAUGAACUGAGUUACUUCACAGAAAUGACUGGCUGUUUAUCCUGCAACACAGUGGAAAGAAUGAACUUUAUUGCUGCUUUUAGCACUCUGGCAUUGAUUCUAAUCUGAUUGUCUUUGUUCUUUUACAAUGAUAUCAAAGCUGAAUCUAACCAGUGAUCUGUGGUUCAUUAUAAUUUCUAUGUAGAGUUUUAAAGCUGGUUUCUUCUCUGCAGAAGUGAUAAUAAAGGUUGUUUCUCCAGAUUCUGA
Acanthochromis polyacanthus (spiny chromis) is the source of this 4160-nucleotide RNA transcript. RefSeq lists it as uncharacterized. The transcript is spliced from 4 exons. Lineage: Eukaryota; Metazoa; Chordata; Actinopteri; Pomacentridae. The record is from RefSeq and is a predicted model, not a curated record.